Molecule: ribosomal RNA, 468 nt
Filed under: uncultured bacterium
Lineage: Bacteria
Description: partial 16S ribosomal RNA
Rfam family: Bacterial small subunit ribosomal RNA
Source: RNAcentral
GACGAACGCUGGCGGCGUGCUUAACACAUGCAAGUCGAACGGAAAGGCCCUGCUUUUGUGGGGUGCUCGAGUGGCGAACGGGUGGGUAACACGUGAGUAACCUGCCCUUGACUUUGGGAUAACUUCAGGAAACUGGGGCUAAUACCGGAUAGGAGCUCCUGCUGCAUGGUGGGGGUUGGAAAGUUUCGGCGGUUGGGGAUGGACUCGCGGCUUAUCAGCUUGUUGGUGGGGUAGUGGCUUACCAAGGCUUUGACGGGUAGCCGGCCUGAGCGGGUGACCGGCCACAUUGGGACUGAGAUACGGCCCAGACUCCUACGGGAGGCAGCAGUGGGGAAUAUUGCACAAUGGGCGGAAGCCUGAUGCAGCAACGCCGCGUGCGGGAUGACGGCCGUCGGGUUGUAAACCGCUUUCGCCUGUGACGAAGCGUGAGUGACGGUAAUGGGUAAAGAAGCACCGGCUAACUACGUG